This 9987-nucleotide long non-coding RNA is filed under the name Capsicum annuum. RNAcentral's name for it is "long non-coding RNA (CANN_LNC005811)". The record is from RNAcentral. Lineage: Eukaryota; Viridiplantae; Streptophyta; Magnoliopsida; Solanales; Solanaceae.
AAAUACUUUUAAAGAAAAAUAGUUAUUUUUAUAAAAUAAAAAUUUUUGUUUCAUAAAGUUGGUCGGCUAAUAAAAAAUUUCAAGUUGCCGGCGACGUUUUUUGGUGGUGGUUGAUUCCGACGAAGCUCGUAGUCUUGUUUUGCUGCCCCCAAAAAGAUAAACACAUCUUUUUUUAAAAAGUUUUUAUUAUCGUUUUCUUCUUCAUAGUUCGUAGAUAUAAUUUUGUUUGCUGGGAUUGUAUGUUAUAGAUGGCCUUAAAGACCCUAGGACGUUGUGGUAUCGAUAUUCUAAUUAUUUUCAUGUCCAUGAUAUAAAAAUGAGCUAACAAUAGUUGUAUGUGUCUCUUUUUUUUUAACUUUAUUCUUUGAUUAUUUUGGAUAAAGUUUCAAUCUUUGCUUAAAAUAUGUAUUUAUGCUUUGUUUAAACUCAUUGUUGUUGGAUAUAUUUGUUUUUAGCAUUUAAAGUUAUUUUCUUUAUGUUGAAAAGAAUAGUUAAUGUUGAAUGUUUCGCUUUUUCACCUUAUUCUUUGAUUAUUUUAGAUAAAGUUUAGAUCUUUGCUUGAAAAACAUAAUCAUGUCUUGUUUAAACUCAUUUUUGUUGAAUAUGUUUAUUUUUAGCAUGUAAAAUUAUUUUUUUUAUGUUGAAAAGAAUAGUUAAUAAUGAUUGUUUUGCCUUUUGACCUUAUUCUUUGAUUAUUUUGGAUAAAGUUUAGAUCUUUACUUGAAAAGUCAUACCCAUAUCUUGUUUAAACUCANNNNNNNNNNNNNNNNNNNNGUGCUAAAAUUAUUUUUCAUCCACGAUGUUUAUUCCUCUUUUUCGCAUGUUUUCAAAUUUGUCAAAAUGGUGAGAAAGUUCAAAUUUUUAUGGCUAAAUAGAAUUAUUUAGAUAUUUUCAAGUCAUGGAUAGUAUGAUUGUGAAACAAUAUUUCAUUUUUAGAAAUGCUAAACUUUUUUCUAAUUUUCUUGCGCCCUUUGGAUAGUUAUAUGUGCUCUUUGUGAGUGUAAAGACUUGAUUCGUGUCUCUCAUUAAUUCAUAAUAUCAAAGGACAAUCAACGAUGUCUUAGAAAUAUAAACCAUAGGUCAUAACACGUUUUUUUUCAUAAAAUUUUGGUUGUAAUUUAGAUGUAUGAAUUUUCGUUAAUGUCGCCUUAAUUGAAAUUAAAGAUUCUCUUGCUUGAAAAGUUAACCUUUAUUUUCUUUUGUUAUAUGGAUUAGUAUCUAUGUUUGUUCAAUUUUAGAAGUCAUGAGUAUUUUUCUUGUUGCCUUAUCCCUUUACUUUCGCAAGCUUACGUUGUUUGUUUCUUGNNNNNNNNNNNNNNNNNNNNNNNNNNNNAACAUAAAUGAUGAGGCAUGUAAGUGGGGGUCUUUGCUUUGCAUUUAAUUUGUUGACUCUCAUUCUUGUGCAAGUGUGCUUAUCAUUGUCAUUCAAAAUUGGUUCUUGAUAUUUUCUUUUGUUUUGAAAUAUGUCACUUUUAUGCCUUGAACGUAUAUUAAUUUCUUUAUCUUUUCUUUGCAUGCAAAAAAAAAUGUCUCGAGUCCAAAUGGAUUCCUCUCCUCUUGCAUUUUGUAAUGGGCAAUGAGGUCUACCACUUCGAGUCAAGUUCGAAGUUUAAACCCGAGGUCCACUACAUGGCGUGCGGGUGCUAGAGGAUAGACGAAGAAGGAAAAUGGGUCAAAACUCAUUGAUGAGGUCAUUAAGAGACUUGAAAAGUCUCAAUUUUUUUUAUUAUCUUCUUUUUAUUUAUUCAUUUAGUCAUUUAUUUAUUCAUUCAUUUCGGCCUCGAAGCCAAAGUUGUGUUUAAUAUAGGUGAAGCAAGACUCGAGCCAGAGGCUCGAAAAUUAGUUUAGGACAGGUAAAAUGGGUCGGAAGCCCAACUAGACUAGGACAGUUCUCGUUGAUUUGGGCUCAAUGACCUAAAUCAUUUACUUUCUCCUCCCUUCCCCUUUUAUGUGUUUAUUUAUUUAUUAGUUUUGUUUAGACUUAAUUAAAAUCCCUACUAAAUCGCCUAAAUCUAUUUUACACAAGUCUUUUAAAAAAAAAAAAAAUCACAUCACUAUUUUCACCAAAUCACUAUUUUAACAAAUUAAUCUUUUCAGAAGUUAAUCAAAAAAUGUUUUCAAACAGUCCGGAUAACUGCAAGUUAGUGAAUGUUUUAGGUGCCUAACACCUUCCUAAAACAUUAAUAGGAAUCGCUUAUCUAGAAUCUCCAACUUAAAACGAUUUUUCUGUUUUGAAUCAUUUGAAGUAACUCUCUAAAGGUUUCUUAAUUCCUUUCCAAAAUUAAGUGGCGACUCUUCUCAAAAAGUCAAAAUUUCUCAUCAAAACAAAAAUGGCGACUCUGCUGGGGAUUUGUAACUAGAUUCUAACCAAAUGUUUGAUUUCGUCUUUUGAUUAACUGUUUAUGUAUUUAUAUGUUUCGAUUCUGUAAAGUUUAACUAUCGCAUUUCAUGGCAUAUUCCUGCAUUAUUUAAACUGUUUUGGGGUUUCAUGGAUGUCCCGGCCCUGUUGUUCAAUUCCAAAAUGUGUUGGAAAUACGAACGGCUUAUUAGCAUGUGAGUCAUUUGAUGGCUGUUCGUAUUUUCUAACUCAAGUUGUCCACUUGAGAACCAAUGUUCCAACCUACUCUAGACACCUAGGAUAGAAAAAAAUCAAAACCCUAUUUUAGGCAUGAACCUAGGACGACCCAAUACCCUAGCGAGGUAUUGGGCCCAUUAGAAAAUCUGCCCUGCAUCUAUUGACCCCAAGUCAAUUAUAGACGAACCAUAUUUAUGCGUUGAAGAAAAUGUAUGCCUGGUUAAUUCAAUCCAUUAUCCUUUGGGGGUCGGGAAAAGGCUAGAUUUGCUUACUUUUGUAAGAAGAAUUGAAGCAAGUUAAGCAAGAAACUGAUCAAUUUGGUAGGUUGUAUUUAAGACACAGUUUGAACUCAACGGAUGUCACCAAUAUAAGAAAUGGAUGAAGCUAAGAAGGGGAAUUCUGAUAGAAAAAGCACUCAGGAAUUAGUAUUUUCUUAUCCCCUGUGUGGGAGCAUAUCUUCUUUUAUGUUAUUUCCCUUUUCCUAAAGAUUGUAUUCCUCUUUCGUUAUCUUUUGUAGGCAUUUAUGCCCUUUUAGUGUCUAUAAAAGUUGGGGGAUAAUGGAUUGACCUUAAGCAAGCAUAUAUUUUUUCUUCAAAAAUCGUUAGGCCCAAACCCUUGACUCAAAAGGGUCACCCAAUUAGGAUGCACGUUUAUUACAAUAUGCUUGUGUAAUAUAAUUAUUUAUGUGCUUAUACGUGUUAUGCUGAUUCGAAUCAAAGGCGAACUAAUCCAAUCCCAUUUUCCAUAGAACAUCUCUAAGUAGAAAUAUACCCCACAAUACAAAAGUCCGACUAAAAGUACUCCAAGUCUCCCAAGUUUCUCAGAAAAGUCCAUAGUCAUUCUUAAAACUUCCAAAAUGAUCGCUACCAUUUUAGGAAAGUUGACUUUAGAAUCAAAAAAAGUUGUUAUAGUUUUGAACUACGUAGGGCCUGAUUUCUCCUCCGUGAGAUACGUAGGCAGUCUUUCGUCCCGGACCAUAUCUCCAAAAGCUCUAUUUCCCUCCACUUUCUUGAAGGAAGAAGAAGAGUUGAACCUUCCUGACAAAUUCCACCUAUCCAUAUCAUUGAGCAAAAUCCUGUUCAUUGAAAUCCUCGAGUCAUCAUUAUUUCAUGGAUCAAUUCGCAUGAGAUGAGAAACAACUCUGUGUGUUUACUUCCUACCUUAUCAUCUUGGUUUACUUAUUACUAAUGGAAUCUAACACAUCAGUGUUUGAGUUGUUUUUACUUUGCAGGUAAUAGAAACUACUCUGUGUUGGCACAAAAUAACCCUACUUCACCAGAUCCAAAUGAAUAAGAGAUCCACUUCUUGACUAUAGUUUUGUUACAGGAAAAGAAAAAUGACUAGUAGUAAAACUGGACUCUACCAAUCAUUUUUCAACCUUGUAAGCGAUAGUCUCGAGGAUGGAAUAAGGGAAAAUAUGAGGAAAGAAUUUUCCAAGACAAUCGGAAUCAUGGAAGAUUAAUUGGAGGAAACAUUAUUGAAUUGGACCUCCACUCCACUCAUGACUCAUCACCCAUCGUAUAACAGUAACUUAAAACCUGCCAUUGUCAUGUCAUGUCAAGAAUAAAAAUAAUGGUAGCCCUAGAACAGUCAACAAAAGAGUCAAAGAGUUCGAGAAUCAAAGAAGCCUAAUCUAGAGGAAACCGAGGUGGUUAACUAGGAAGGCGAUGACUCCAUUGGACAUUUGAUCCUUUGUUCUAUCAAGACAAAUGCAACACAAACGUCAUGUCAUCCAUAGAAGUACUUAUUUAUGUCCUAGUAAGAUGGGUAAGAGUAUUUUUAGGGCCAUUAUGAGUUUAUGUACGAACAACAUUUGACCUGAAUUCCCAAAAAGGGAUACUUAGGCGGCCUAUGUCGGCUUCUGUCAACCCCUUAGGAAAAUUUAUCAUUUCCUUUUAUGUACAAAUUACGUUUGACCUGAAUUCCCAAAAAGGGAUACGCAGGCGGCCUAUGUCGGCUUUGGUCAACCCUUUAGGAUACUUUAUCCUUUCCUUUUAUGUAUAAACUACGUGAUGACUUGAAUUCCCAACAAAAGGGAUACGUAGGCGGCCUAUGUCGGCUUCGAUCAACCCAUUAGAUUUUUUUAUAUAUUCUUAGCGUAGUCUUGAACUAUGUUUGACCUGAUUCCUUCUUCAACGGGAUACGUAUGCACCCCAACGGCUCGGUCAUAUAAUCCCAGGAAAUGGAAAUUGGGGCAAAAUUUUUGAGAAGGAAUCUCAAAAAUUCACAAGGGAAGAUCAACAUCCAACAAGGAGAACGAAGACCAACAAAGACUUUGGAUCUUCUCGAGAUGAUAUUAUCUCAGACUACUUUAAACGGGGGCAGAAAUUUUGAUGAGGUCCUCAAAAUUUCCACUAGUAUAUUGAAAUAUAUUUCAAAUUCUCCAGCACUAGAGGUCGAAGUUGAGAUUUGAGAAUCACCACCUGUGAUAAAGUCUAGGAAAACUGAAUCUCUGUCUUUGAUAAAACUUCUUGUAGAGAGCCUCGACAAUGUUGAAUCCCUAGCAAUCCUCCAUCAAACAUUGGAAAUUGUCAGAAUUAAGAGAAAGAUAGUCGUUGAGCUAGCACAUGACAUGACUGGUAGAGAUUUUCUAAAGUUUUGCUGGAGUUUUCAAAACUAUUUUCUAAAAAUUAAGACGACUUUAAAACAUCUAUAUAAAUCUUUUACUUAAUGAUUGUCUAGGCAUCAAUUAAGAUGGGGAGUCAAGGGUGAAAGUCCCAAUAUAACGAAGUACCCAAAAGAUGGCGUAGAGAAAAUGGAGAAUCGAAGAAAGUCAACAUGGAGUAGUUUCACUCAAACUAAUCAUUUUUCUGUGGAUCGGGGACCAAUACAAAAAAAUGAGAGUCUCUUUCAAAAAUCUCCGAGCAAAUUGGGAGCCACACCAGAGCACUAAUGCUCAAGAACAAAAUUUUUGGGUAGCCCUAAAAAUGGGUUUAAUACCCAUUUAUUGAGGACCUUUUGAAUUGUCCAUCUCAUUUCUUGAGAUCAUGGAGGACAAACAAAAUUGUCUUGUUUUUUUUACAAAUAUUGUAUUUAGAAUUUUUCUAAAAUAUAUAGUCGCUAGCAAAAGCAACUUUAUGUCUACUAAUCAUCUACCUUGAGUACAGGUACAUUUAGAAAGCAAGACGCAGACAAACAAUCUCAGGUGCAACUAUUUUUAAAUUGCCAAGAGGGCCAUUCAUAUCAUUGCCAAGAGGGUCAUUUCAUAGCAUUGCCGAGAGGGCCAUUUCAUAUCAUCGCCGAGAGGGCCAUUUCAUAUCAUUGCUGAGAGGGCCAUUCAUAUCAUUACCAAGAGGUUCAUUCGUAUUAUUGCCAAGAGGGACAUUUUAUAGCAUUGCCAAGAAGGCCAUUCAUAUCAUCACCGAGAGGGCCAUUGCAUAUUAUUGCCAAGAGGGCCAUUCACAUUAUUGCCAAGAGGGUCAUUCAUAUCAUUGCCAAGAAGGCCAUUUCAUAGCAUUUCUAAGAGGGCCAUUCAAAUCAUCGCCGAGAGGGCCAUUGCAUAUUAUUAUCAAGAGGGUCAUUCAAUAUCUGUUGACACGCAAGACAUAAACACUGGCGUCGAGGAUAUCAUCAGUAUUUUAUAUCUAUUGACAUGCAAGACAUAAACACUGGCAUCGAGGAUAUCAUCACCAUUCAAUAUCUAUUGAUACUCAAGACAUAAACGCUGGCGUCGAGGAUAUCAUUAACAUUCAUUAUCUGUUGACAUGCAAGACAUAAACGUUGGCAUCAAGGAUAUCAUCAACAUUUCAUAUCUGUUGACAAGCAAGACAUAAACACUAGCGAUGAGGAUAUCAUCAACAUUUCAUAUCUGUUGACACUCAAGACAUAAAUGUUAGGGUCGAGAAUAUCAUCAGCAUUUAAUAUCUAUUGACACGCUAGACACAAACGUUGGUGUCGAGGAUAUCUCAUCAUUUUAUGAAUCAGCAUCUGAAUGCAUCAAGAGCACACGAUUUUAAGGAAUUCCUUUAAGUCGGUGUCUAAAGACGGAUGAUUUAUGAGAUUUCCUAGAAAUUGACAAUUUGAGGGUCAUCUAUAAGUCAUAUUAUUUGAAAUAGGAUAGUGUUCAAGAUCACCUAUGAGUUGAUAGCCUGUAGGUCAUCCGUAAGCAACAACAACAUCCUAACCAAAUAGUGUGGAAGAUCGCCCAAAAAUUAAUAGUUUGGAGGUUAUCCAUAAGUCGCAACUAAAUCCUUACCGGAGAAUAUGUGAGAUUAUCAAAUUAAUACGUCCAAGGGUUAUCUAUAAGCUGCAUCAUAUCCAAGAUCGAUUAUGUGCAGGAUUACCCAAGGACUACCAAUUUGAGUAAUAUCUAUAAGUCAUAUUGUAUCCAAGGUCGGAUGAUGCGCAGGAACACCUAAAAGCUAGCGAUUUGAAGGAUAUAUGUAAGCCAUCUCUUAUCCAAGGUUGGAUAAUGUGCAGGAUUAUCUAAAAGCUAGCAAUUCAAAGGAUAUCUGUAAGUCGCCUCGUAUCCGACAUCAAAUAAUGUGCAAGAUUAUCCAAGAUUGACAAUUUGAGGAAAAUCUAUAAGUUAUAUCGGUACAAAAGAUGUGCAGGACUUACCUGAGAUCAUAUGCAAAAAAUUACUAUCAAUAACCGGAGAUGUUAUCAUGCCACAUACGACAAGCACUAUAGGUGACUCAAAAGGGUUGCUACAUCAGCGCAAGAUUAAGCGGUUGCAGGGACCGUUCUGCAUAAAGUGUCGUUGAUGUCCAAGAGAGACACCCACUUUGAAGACAUAUUCAACCGAUAAAUAAGAUAAUUAUGCAACGACCAAGAGAGUUGUUGUGCCUAUUAUUGCAAGUUAUUUCCUUCUAAAUAGGUGCAUGAAAGGGAUGACUUUGCUUUUCAGGAAAUAACUCACACGGGGAUAUGGUAAAGACUAUAUACCUCUUUCGUGAAUUAUGUUUAGCACUAACACUUUUUGUUUGAAACACUGUCGAGAGCAUCCGAGAGAGUGAAAAUCUCAAAUCAAAACCACAGGGGCGGACAACUCCAGAUAGGACGCAGUACAACGUGGAACUCUUUCUUACCAGCAAAACGGAACAUAGUCUAAAGAGGGAUGUCAAACUCUUUGGAUGAGAGCUAAAGGAUGAUCACCACCACCAUCCAACCACACCCCUAUUAGAAGGCAUGUGGGUAGUUUGAGAUAUUUGGGUUUCAGCUUCACCUUUGGUAUAUCUCUAAACUCAUACCGAGGGUAAACUUUUCUUUCUUUCAAUUCGGGUGGCAACACACUUAGAGUUUUGGAAUUAUGUCCAAGUAAGUUCUUACCUAUGGAUGUGAAGGAUCCCACAUUCAUGGUUAAGAGUUUACAAGCUUCUUUUCCGCAACUCGAUCAACUUGUCACCCAUUUCGAGCCAAAGAUAGUCUAAAAUAAAAGACUAUAUUUUCUAUCGAUUGAGUCAAACUAUAGGCAGUCUGAUUCCCUGAGUCUCAGGGAUAUUUAGGCUCAGCUCUAUGUAGAAAACUCAAUUACAUUCCAACCUCCUCCCCAAAUCCCUCCAUUUCCUAGCUUUUCAGUCGACAAAAACUCUAAAAAAACUAGGAUAGCUGGUGAUUUUUUUUUGAAAAUCGUGCCUUAAAUCAAGUUUUAUGAACUACAAGUAGCCUGAAUUCUCUUGUAACCUGAGAUAUGUAGGAAACCCCACUUGGGUUCGGCCAUGACUCUAUGAGACUCAUGCAAAAGCCAACCUCUUUCAGUUUUGAAUUGUGGUCGGACAAAAAUUAGGAACGUCAACCUCCCUUUGCCCAAGGUUACUUGCAUUCACCCUACCCAAAAGGAAGGGGCAGUUGUUGACACCUAAUUUUUGCCCUCCACAACUAAAUUUAAUCAUGAGUUUCUUUGAUAAUAAAAUUAAAAUAUUUAUUUCAUCCGAAUAAAAAUUUAUGAAAUAUAUUUGUACGUAAUUUUGUCAUUUUAAGUAGUGAUUAUAAUUUAUUGUAUUCAAUUAUAUGAUAUUUUAUAAUUUUGUUAGUUAAAUAUUUAUUUUAUAAAAUAUUGGAUUUUAAUCAAGGCUUAGAGAUUCAAAUGAUUAAAGUUUUGAUUUAAAUAUAAUUUACUCUCAAAAAAUAACAAUUAUAUGAUAUUUUAUAAUUUUGUUACUUAAAUAUUUAUUUUAUAAAAUAUUGGAUUUUAAUCAAGGCUUAGAGAUUCAAAUGAUUAAAGUUUUGAUUUAAAUAUAAUUUACUCUCAAAAAAUAAUUUAUUAGGAUAAAUAUGUGUUUGAUUUUAUAAAAUCAUGAAGCCCGGGGUUAAAGGAAGCAUUAAUUCGCAUCGAAUUUCAAUUUAAUUUAGUCAAUCUAUUAGAUUUGGCCAUAAUUGAAAUCAAAAUGGUCAUAAUUGUAAUGCAAUCCGUCAAUUAAUUUCUAAUUUGGUCAAAAUUAAUAAAUAUGGCUAAAUUUUAAAUCCCAAUUGGGGUUAUAUUUUAAAUAACCCCAAAAUUCUCAAAAACUCUCAUAACUUCUACCUAAUUCCACAAAAAAAUAAUUUCAAAUAGUACUACAUUGUACUAUUUCCCCCCAACAUUGUCUUUUCCCAAUUUUAAAAUUCAAAAGUUGUACUACAUUGUACAAUUUCCCCCCACAUUAUCUUCCACCUCACCUUAUCUUCAAUUUUAAAAUUUCAAAAACACCCUUAAUUGCUUUUUCUCUCACAUUGGUGGAUGACAAGAAACAAAUCUUCAUCCUUUCCUAUAAAUACUUUUCUCCCACAUUGGUGGAAGAGAGGAAAAAAAAUCUCAUUUUCUCCUAUAAAUAUUACCACUACUUUGGUAAAAAAAAAGGGGGGGAAAGGGAAAACAAAAAGGCUAGAAAGGUGAAAAAAUACUUUUUGAGCAAAAUAGUUAUUUUUAUUAAGUAAAAAUUUUUGUUUCAUAGAGUUGGUCGGCUAAUAAAAAAAUUCAACUUGCCGGCAACGUUUUUUUGGUGGUGGUUGAUUCCGACGAAGCUCGUAGUCUCGUUUUGCUGCCCCCAAAAAGGUAAACACAUCUUUAUUUUUUAGUUUUUAUUAUCGUUUUCUUCUUCAUCUUUUUUUUUUCAUAGUUCAUAGAUAUAAUUUUGUUUGCUGGGAUUGUAUGUUGUAAAUGGCCUUNNNNNNNNNNNNNNNNNNNNNNNNNNNNNNNNNNNNNNNNNNNNNNNNNNNNNNNNNNNNNNNNNNNNNNNNNNNNNNNNNNNNNNNNNNNNNNNNNNNNNNNNNNNNNNNNNNNNNNNNNNNNNNNNNNNNNNNNNNNNNNNNNNNNNNNNUUUUUAGCAUGUAAAGUUAUUUUCUUUAUGUUGAAAAGAAUAGUUAAUAUUGAUUUUUUUACCUUUUGACCUUAUUCUUUGAUUAUUUUGGAUAAAGUUUAGAUCUUUCCUUGAAAAGUCAUACUCAUGUCUUGUUUAAACUCAUUCUUGCUAGAUAUGUUUGUUUUUAGC